GAGGAAAAGAAACCAACAGGGAUUGCCUCAGUAACGGCGAGUGAAGCGGCAAGAGCUCAACUUUGGAAUCGCUGCGGCGAGUUGUAGUCUGGAGGUGGCCGGUCCCGGCGCCAGCGCGCAGCCAAGUCCUUUGGAACAAGGCGCCUGAGAGGGUGACAGCCCCGUGGCAGUUUGUGCUGGUGCCGCCUCGGCCCACCGACGAGUCGAGUUGUUUGGGAAUGCAGCUCUAAGUGGGUGGUAAAUUCCAUCUAAAGCUAAAUACCGGCGAGAGACCGAUAGCGAACAAGUACAGUAAUGGAAAGAUGAAAAGCACUUUGAAAAGAGAGUGAAACAGUACGUGAAAUUGUUGAAAGGGAAGGGCUUGCACCCAGACACGGCCUUCUGGCCGGGCCAGCAUCGGGUGGGAGGGAGCGACAACGAGCAGUCGAUGUAGUACAGCCCUCUGGGCUGUGCAUUAUACGUCUUGCUUUCUGGCUCCUCUCCCGCCCGAGGACCGCAGCAAUAAGGAUGCUGGCGCAAUGGUUGCAAGCCACCCGU
RNAcentral lists this ribosomal RNA (537 nucleotides) under Candidozyma haemuli var. vulneris. Its description in RNAcentral is "LSU rRNA". It matches the Rfam family "Eukaryotic large subunit ribosomal RNA", at positions 53 to 652 of the family's 3401-position model. Lineage: Eukaryota; Fungi; Ascomycota; Pichiomycetes; Serinales; Metschnikowiaceae. The record is from RNAcentral.